This 104-nucleotide small RNA is filed under the name Marmota monax (woodchuck). Lineage: Eukaryota; Metazoa; Chordata; Mammalia; Rodentia; Sciuridae. The record is from RNAcentral.
GCUGGGCAUAGUGGCUCAUGCCUGUAAUCCCAGUGACUCGGAGGGUGAGGCAGGAGGAUCACAAGUUUGAGGUCAGCCUCAGCAAUUUAGCAAGACCCUGUCCU